CGCCGUGAACGAGUAAACAAGUGGGGCGCAGGCGCGGGUCAAUAAUGUGUCGCCGCGCGCGUAGCGGUUCGCGACGUUUCAAAGUGAAAAAGGAUGGAAGAAUUGCUGACCUAGAGAUUGGGUUUUGAACCUUCUACCUGAUUGGGGUUCUUGAAUUCCGUGUCCCCAAUUCCAAGAAGAGGACCUCACAGCGCCAAAAACCCUCCGCGCAAACUAGGAAUGUCGCAAUAAUAAUUAAGGGAAAUUUAAAUUUUCGAAUCCGCCAAAAAAACCUGUAAUGAAGCGUUUUGAAGAAUAAAUUCUGGUUCAAUAACGUCCAUACGAACCCCCUGGGGCGUCA
Long non-coding RNA from Onthophagus taurus, 340 nucleotides. RefSeq lists it as uncharacterized. The record is from RefSeq and is a predicted model, not a curated record. Lineage: Eukaryota; Metazoa; Arthropoda; Insecta; Coleoptera; Scarabaeidae.